CGGAGGAUCCAAGCGUUAUCCGGAUUUACUGGGCGUAAAGAGUUGCGUAGGUGGCUAAAUAAGUGAAUAGUGAAAUCUGAUGGCUCAACCAUCAACACAUUAUUCAAACUGUUUAGCUCGAGAAUGAGAGAGGUCACUGGAAUUCCUUGUGUAGGAGUGAAAUCCGUAGAUAUAGGGAGGAACACCAAUGGCGUAGGCAGGUGACUGGCUCAUUUCUGACACUGAGGCACGAAAGCGUGGGGAGCGAACGGGA
This 253-nucleotide ribosomal RNA is filed under the name uncultured prokaryote. Its description in RNAcentral is "partial 16S ribosomal RNA". It matches the Rfam family "Bacterial small subunit ribosomal RNA", at positions 526 to 777 of the family's 1533-position model. The record is from RNAcentral.